RNAcentral lists this ribosomal RNA (630 nucleotides) under uncultured Gammaproteobacteria bacterium. RNAcentral's name for it is "partial 16S ribosomal RNA". It matches the Rfam family "Bacterial small subunit ribosomal RNA", at positions 1 to 604 of the family's 1533-position model. The record is from RNAcentral. Lineage: Bacteria; Pseudomonadati; Pseudomonadota; Gammaproteobacteria.
CGACGUCGCAUGCUCCCGGCCGCCAUGGCGGCCGCGGGAUUCGAUUAGAGUUUGAUCAUGGCUCAGAUUGAACGCUGGCGGCAGGCCUAACACAUGCAAGUCGAGCGGUAGAGAGAAGCUUGCUUCUCUUGAGAGCGGCGGACGGGUGAGUAAUGCCUAGGAAUCUGCCUGGUAGUGGGGGAUAACGUUCGGAAACGGACGCUAAUACCGCAUACGUCCUACGGGAGAAAGCAGGGGACCUUCGGGCCUUGCGCUAUCAGAUGAGCCUAGGUCGGAUUAGCUAGUUGGUGAGGUAAUGGCUCACCAAGGCGACGAUCCGUAACUGGUCUGAGAGGAUGAUCAGUCACACUGGAACUGAGACACGGUCCAGACUCCUACGGGAGGCAGCAGUGGGGAAUAUUGGACAAUGGGCGAAAGCCUGAUCCAGCCAUGCCGCGUGUGUGAAGAAGGUCUUCGGAUUGUAAAGCACUUUAAGUUGGGAGGAAGGGCAUUAACCUAAUACGUUAGUGUUUUGACGUUACCGACAGAAUAAGCACCGGCUAACUCUGUGCCAGCAGCCGCGGUAAUACGAAUCACUAGUGAAUUCGCGGCCGCCUGCAGGUCGACCAUAUGGGAGAGCUCCCAACGCGU